RNAcentral lists this ribosomal RNA (750 nucleotides) under uncultured bacterium. RNAcentral's name for it is "bacterial SSU rRNA". It matches the Rfam family "Bacterial small subunit ribosomal RNA", at positions 43 to 783 of the family's 1533-position model. The record is from RNAcentral.
CAGGCCUAACACAUGCAAGUCGAGCGGACCAUUCCUUCGGGGAUGGUUAGCGGCGGACGGGUGAGUAACACGUAGGCAACCUGCCUGUAAGAUCGGGAUAACUACCGGAAACGGUAGCUAAGACCGGAUAGCUGGUUUCUCCGCAUGGGGGAAUCAUGAAACACGGGGCAACCUGUGGCUUACGGAUGGGCCUGCGGCGCAUUAGCUAGUUGGUGGGGUAAUGGCCCACCAAGGCGACGAUGCGUAGCCGACCUGAGAGGGUGAUCGGCCACACUGGGACUGAGACACGGCCCAGACUCCUACGGGAGGCAGCAGUAGGGAAUCUUCCGCAAUGGGCGCAAGCCUGACGGAGCAACGCCGCGUGAGUGAUGAAGGUUUUCGGAUCGUAAAGCUCUGUUGCCAAGGAAGAACGCCUCGGAGAGUAACUGCUCUGAGGGUGACGGUACUUGAGAAGAAAGCCCCGGCUAACUACGUGCCAGCAGCCGCGGUAAUACGUAGGGGGCAAGCGUUGUCCGGAAUUAUUGGGCGUAAAGCGCGCGCAGGCGGUCUUUUAAGUUUGGUGUUUAAGCCCGGGGCUCAACCCCGGUUCGCACUGAAAACUGGGAGACUUGAGUGCAGGAGAGGAAAGCGGAAUUCCACGUGUAGCGGUGAAAUGCGUAGAGAUGUGGAGGAACACCAGUGGCGAAGGCGGCUUUCUGGACUGUAACUGACGCUGAGGCGCGAAAGCGUGGGGAGCAAACAGGAUUAGAU